GUCUCAGCUCGUCCUCUGUUGCUCUCUCUCAAUCUGUCUACCCAAAUACAAAUCAACAGAGUGGAACAUCCUUCAAUUCAAUUUCCUCUUCUUUUCUUGAUUUCUUCUUGUAGAUCUCUGUGUUUUCAUUAUCAUCUCGUUUUCUGUUUUCUCUUCUUUUUCUUCUAUGUGAUUUGAGAGGAAAAAUAAAGGUUUCGAGAUCGAGAGCGAAAGGGAUUGAUCGAAUAAUAGUUGUUGGUAGUGAUGCUGAUAGGAGUGGUGGAUUCAGAUUCAGCAGAAAAGUUCUGAAGAUAUAAUUGAUUACGAUGUGGAUCUAUCUUACCUUCUUCACUCACAUCUGAAUGAUUUGUUACCAAAAUUUGAUGAAGGCGCUUGUCAAGCUCAGACAUACAUGUUUAAGUACGACAAUGUCCACGGUCAAUGGAAGCACCAUGAACUCAAGGUUAAGGACACUAAGACUCUCCUCUUCGGUGAGAAGGAAGUUGCAGUCUUUAGUUGCACAAACCCUGAGGAGAUCCCAUGGGAUGAUACUGGAGCUGAAUACAUUGUUGAGUCAACUGGAAUGUUCACUAAGAAGGACAAAGCUGCUGCUCAUUUGAAGGGUGGAGCCAAGAAGGUUAUCAUUUCUUCUCCCAGGUGCAGUAGAAAUGCGCUGGGUUGAUACUUACUUUCCAUUUAAGAAGCCAUCAUUUGAACUCGAGAUAUUUUUUCAGGAGAAAUGGUUGGAGGUUUUGGGUUGCAGGGUGACUGAGCAGAAGAUUUUAAAAGAAGUGGUAACGUGGAUAAGGUUGCAUGGGCACUGGGGCUCGAACGACUUGCAAUGGUUCUUUUUGAGAUACCUGACAUAAGGCUGUUCUGGCCUUCUGAUGAGCGGUUCACGUCACAGGUAUUACGUACUAAAUUCUAAGAUAUUAGCAACUAUAUUUUUCCACUCGGUCUCACAUAUGUUGGCCAUACGUUCAGUCCCGCCUAAGGCUGGAAAGAAAAAUAGUUUAAGUUUAUCUUGAGCUAGAAUCUUGAAGUACGAUUGAACUCUAAUGGAGGCUCAUUUCUUGGUUCAUGAUUUACUGAGACGGUUUGACAGUCGUGUCAUGUUGGUGUUACAAGCUUUAUAUUGAUUCACACGUGAACACAGCAAAGUUCUUGUACAGAUUAGAAGCGUUUCGGAUAGCAGCAAAGGCUAUCGAUUUACACCGCCAGAUAAACCAUAUUAUGCAAAGUGUUACGGGUAAAUAUUGGUGUAGCAAGGCCUUCUUUGUUUUCCUUUUGACUAUAUUAUCUUUGAGAUUGAUCCAAUUUUAAACAGAGUUGCCUUGAGCUUGUGUUCUCUGUGACUGAGAAUGAAUGUAAAAGAGUGUUUAGGUACUUAUUAGAAUUUGAUACUCAAUAUGAAAUUUUUUUGGUACUUAGAAGAAUCUGUGUUCUUUCUUCAUAUGAAUUGAUUUAAUGUUGAUAUGAAUUGAUUGAA
This is a long non-coding RNA of Papaver somniferum (opium poppy), 1468 nucleotides long. RefSeq lists it as uncharacterized. Lineage: Eukaryota; Viridiplantae; Streptophyta; Magnoliopsida; Ranunculales; Papaveraceae. The transcript has 6 exons. The record is from RefSeq and is a predicted model, not a curated record.